ACACCAGGGGGAGUGCGGCUU
RNAcentral lists this ribosomal RNA (21 nucleotides) under Pyxidiophora arvernensis. Its description in RNAcentral is "partial 18S ribosomal RNA". Lineage: Eukaryota; Fungi; Ascomycota; Laboulbeniomycetes; Pyxidiophorales; Pyxidiophoraceae. The record is from RNAcentral.